RNAcentral lists this long non-coding RNA (1084 nucleotides) under Homo sapiens (human). RNAcentral's name for it is "HSALNT0277834". The record is from RNAcentral. Lineage: Eukaryota; Metazoa; Chordata; Mammalia; Primates; Hominidae.
GGCGCAGCAGCUGCUCCCUGAACACUUUCUGACCCAACAGUCCCCCAGCGCCGGACGCGCCGCGCCCUGGCGGCUCUAGGGACCCCCCCCGCGCCUGCACUUAGCCCCGCGCCCGAGUCCACAGACAAACGAAUUUAAAGGAGCAACCGAGGAGGCACCUGCGAAAGAAAGCCCACACACAGGUGAAUUUAAAGGAGCAGCCCUGGUGUCACCUAUCAGUAAAAGAAUGUUAGAACGACUUUCCAAGUUUGAAGUUGGAGAUGCUGAAAAUGUUGCUUCAUAUGAUGAUCUAGAGGGAGCAGGAAGACCAGAGUCACUACAGUGUUUUUCGUGCUUUUCAUCAUGGCCACCUCCCUACCCCCAGAGUCUGCACAAGAGAAAAAUGUGUCCAGUGGGAGAGAUAGCACCUGCCUUCAAUACAAAUCCCAUUUCAUUAAACAUGGUCUUGUUAGUGUCAUGUAGCUUCCACCUUCUAUUGAUAAAAAAUGAGUCAUGUUCAUAGUUAAUAUUUUUGCUUUUAAUUCAACUUUGAUAUUAAUAUUGGAACUUUUAAGUGUUUUAAGGUUUAGUAUCUCAUAUCUUUUUUUCUCUCUCUUUUUUUUUUUUUGAGCCGGAGUCUCGCUCUGUCACCAGGCUGGAGUGCAGUGGCGCCACUCAGCUCACUGCAACCUCCGCUUCCCAGGUUCAAGUGAUUCUCCUGCCUCAGCCUCGUGAGUAGCUGGGACUACAGGCACGCACCACCACGCCCAGCUAAUUUUUUGUAUUUUUAGUAGAGAUGGAGUUUCACCAUGUUGGCCAGGAUAGUCUCGAUCUCUUGACCUCAUGAUCCACCCACCUUGGCCACCCAAAGUGCUGGGAUUACAGGCGUGAGCCACCGUGCCUGGCCUCUAUCUCUUUAUUUUUGAAUUGUCAUUUAAAUUUAGUUUUUGUCUCUCGUGUAUAGCAUGUAAUGCCUUUAAUUUCAAAGUUAUCUGAGAGUAUUUCUCAAUAUGCAGUAUGAGAGUAAUAUGUUUGUAUUUAUGAUUUCUGGUACGUUUGGUUUUAUUUAUCAUCUUUUUCUUUAUUAAAAAUACUUUGAUAUUUU